Molecule: unclassified non-coding RNA, 147 nt
Filed under: uncultured Helotiales
Lineage: Eukaryota; Fungi; Ascomycota; Leotiomycetes; Helotiales
Description: sequence contains ITS2
Source: RNAcentral
CAACCCUCAAGCACAGCUUGGUCUUGGGCUCCGCUGCUCACCCAGCGGGCCUUAAAAUCAGUGGCGGUGCCGUCGAGGCCCUGAGCGUAGUAAACAUCCUCGCUAUAGGGACCCGGCGGACGCUGGCCAUCAACCCCAACUCUCUUA